RNAcentral lists this ribosomal RNA (367 nucleotides) under uncultured eukaryote. RNAcentral's name for it is "SSU rRNA". It matches the Rfam family "Eukaryotic small subunit ribosomal RNA", at positions 587 to 972 of the family's 1831-position model. The record is from RNAcentral.
AGCUCCAAUAGCGUAUAUUAAAGUUGUUGCAGUUAAAAAGCUCGUAGUUGAACUUCAGGCUGUUCGCAGUUAGGCUUAUACCUGAUUGAGAGCAGUCUUCCGUCUGCGAACUGCAUUCGGCCUUCACUGGUCGGUGUAGGGAGUAGGCAUUUUACUGUGAAAAAAUUAGAGUGUUUCAGGCAGGUCUUUGCCCGGAUACAUUAGCAUGGAAUAAUGGAAUAGGAUUCAAGUCCAUUUGAUUGGUUAUUGGAUUUGAAUAAUGAUUAAUAGGGACAGUUGGGGGCAUUAGUAUUUAAUAGUCAGAGGUGAAAUUCUUGGAUUUAUUAAAGACUAACUUAUGCGAAAGCAUUUGCCAAGGAUGUUUUCA